UGCUUUGACAAUUUAGUUUAGUUUUUUUUAUUAACUCUGAUUGUUUCCAGCAUCGACACAUGAAUUUUGAACUUGUUCUUGCAUAAUUUAUCAUGGGAGAAAAUGAAUUGGUGGUGUAGGUUUGGGAAACAGUGGAUCAAGACCCUAUGGAAAUUUGGGUUUUAUUCUGUGUUUAUUAUUUUCUUUGCUGCUAUUAUUCACGGAUAAACUUGUGGACUGGGAAUGCUUACCUCUUUAUGACAGGCACUGUAAAUGUCUGUGUCAGCCAUUUAAUUUUCUCUUUCUAGUCCGCACUCAGACAUUUCUUUCAGCAACCAGUCAUUUAAUCGGAAAGAGAGUUUUGUUUCCUUUCAUGUUCUUUGUUGUCAAAACAACCUUUGUUUCUUUCUUAUCAGCUAUAGUAUUUAAUUCACUGCGAUCUCAGGAUGUGUUAUUUGGAAGUGAUGUGGUUAUUCAUUCGAGGAUUGAUGUGUUAUUUGGAAGUGAGGUGGUUAUUCAUUCGAGGAUUGAGUUUCAUUCCCUUUGACUUGCAUUUUUUUGUGUUCAUAGCUAUCAAACAACUUUCUUCCUUUGAAAUGUAUGGAGUCUAUUUUUUUAAGAUGAAAUCCCCUCUAAAUGUUAAUGUUUUAUUUUUUUUCUUUCUUUUUCAUCAUUUCCUAGUUAUUUGUGUUUCUCAUAGGCUUGGUCUCAUCCCUUCGACUUGCAUUUGUUUGUGUUCAUUGCUAUUAAACAACAUUUUUUUUAAAUGUAUGGAGUCUUUUUUGUUACGUCUAGAGAUGUUGAUUUGCUUGUUUUCAUUCCGUUUUAGGUGUUGAUUUGUUUGCGUUCAUUCCUUUUUAGGUGUUGAUUUGUUUGUGUUCAUUCCUUUUUAGCAUUUGGAGGCCUCAAGAAUGGUUGAGGAUUAAAAUCUGGAAGUGUUUAGAACGACCAAUAAUUCAGGAUAACCUAAUUUCAUUAGUUUCCUUUCCAUUUGAUUUCUUGAGAUUUGAUCACGAAGAAUAAGGAUUGAAUUGUCAUUUGUUUUUAUGAUGUCUUUCUUUGUUUUGAAUGUCUUAUUGUCUCUAUACUUCAACUCUAUGAGCCGUUGUAGCCUUCCUGAAUUCUUGGGGUGUACAGUACAGGACAAACAUGCAACAGAUGUUACGUAGGACAGAUGUGAGUAUCCUUAAAGCUCUAGGUUUUGGUAUCCACACAUAUUUUUGUCUUUAAUUGGGACUGGCUAUUUGAAUUUCUCUGGUUUUUGAAUUCCUUCAAUUCAUCUUAUGCUUUCUUAACUUCUUGGUCUUUAUUACCAAUAUCUAUUUUUAUUUAAAUAUAGUUCUUAAAUUUUUUAUGUCUAGGUGUUGAUUCGUUUGUGUUCAUUUCUUUUUAGCAUGUAAGACUGGUUAAGGAUUAAAAUCUGCUAGUGUACACGAAAAACAAGCCACGGAUGUGAGGUAGGAUAUCUAAAUACUGGAAGGAGAUGCUUGAUUCUGUAGGUUAUCCAUAAUCUUUGAUGACAGAUGCUUACUUGAGUUUGGAUGUAGUUAUUUAUUUGAUGAAAGAGAUCUAUCAUAUGUAACUUUGUGUUAGUUCCUUUUCAGCAGGGGAUUCUGGUUGAGGAUUAAAAAACAUAAAUUUGAAUAUUGAUUUUGUUUGAUUAUUGAAAUAUGACAAAUCUAGCUGUUUGAUCUUUGAAUAUGUUGAUUCUUUUUAGCAAAUCAUAGGUUAGUAAUAAUAAAAUGCUCAGGGAAGAUGUCUCCCCUUUACUUGAAACAUUGUAGAUAGAGCAUAUUUUUCCAGACUGAUAUGCGAGGUAGGGUGUGGAAACACUUCCCAGGGGAUUUGUGAAGCUUUAGGUUGUUACCUGUUAGAUAUUAUUAGAUAUUAUUAGAUAUUAUUAGAUAUUAUUAGAUAUAAUUAGAUAUUAUUUGAUAUUAUGAGAUAUUAUAGAUAUUGUUAGAUAUCUCAUAUUUAUGUAAUGGGCUUAGCCCAUAUGUUUCUUUUCCUAUAUAAACAUAACCCUAUGUGUUCAAUAUACACAAGGGAUUUACCCUAUUCUUUCUUUUCCUUUAAUAUUACCCUUACCAUUCUUGUGUCUUUAUUUGUGACUGACUAAACUUCUUGUUUGGAUUCUAAGUUUUGGUUGGAUUCAUUGCUAACAUUGUAGUUUGACUGGCAGUCUGGCAGUUCUUGUGGGUUUAGAGGUCGUGUAAUACUCUCUUUUUUAAGUUGUCCAUUUCUAAGUAAUUUAGGCUUCUCUUAGCUUUUACCAGUCCUGGAUUCAUAGUGAAAUUUGACCCUUUUACAUGGUGCAAUUGAAAUUAAGGAGAGAAUUAUUGAUCUUUAGUUUUCUAGUACUGAAUUAAUUUUGGAUUUGUUUUGGUGUAGCAAAUCUGAAAGGUCAUUUUCUUAGUUAUUACUUCAUUUACUAAAUAAUCAAGAGCAUUGGACAAUUUGAUUUUGUAGUGUUUUGUUUGCUGCAUUGACAAAUGAAUCUUGCAUUCUAUUGUUUUUAGGAGUUUUAGAUUACAUCCUGAAUAUGACAUGAUGAUCUCUUCUAUCUUCCAAAAUGAGAAUGAUCUGCAACAUUAGAGUUGUAUUUAGUUCUAUGUCCAAUGUGAGAAUGAGAAAAUUAAGAGCUCUAUUUAGUUUUAUCUCCAAUUAUCUCUAAUAUGAGAAUGAGAAACAACAGUAGUUGGAAUGUUUUCUUGCAAUCUUCCUGUGCUAUGAUUUAGUUCUCUCUCCAUAUAUGAGAAUAAGAAAAUGAGAAAGAGAAACAAGAUUAUUUGGAAUGUUUUGUAGUAAUCUUCUUGCACUAUGAUUCGGUUCUCUCCCAAUAUGCGAAUGAGAAACAACAAUAUUUGGAAAGUUUUGUCGUAAUCUUCUUGUGCUAUGAUUCGGUUCUGUCCCCAAUAUGCGAAUGAGAAGAUGAGAAACAACAGCUUAUGAGAGCUCCAUUUGGUUCUAUCUCCAAUAUGAGAAUGAGAAACAACAGUACAUGAGAGUUCUAUUUAGUUUUAUCUCUAAUACGAUAAAGAAGAGAAACAAAAGCAUUUGGAUUGUUCUCUUUGUAAUCUUCGUGUGCUAUGAGCAACGCCUCCCCUCGAGGCUAUGGUUACGGGUGAUGCCUCUCUAUUCCAACAUGAGAGCUCUAUAUAUUUUUUUGGGGUGGGGUCUCAAUUUAUGAUACCAUGUGGAAGCAGACACCAUAUUUUUGCCGUCUAUAUUUCUCAGCUCUUGCUGAUUUUGCCAUGCUGAACUUAGUUUUCUUGAAUUGCCAUUCUUCUUAAAUUUUUACAGUAAAGCAAUAGAUAUGUGGGGGCAGGUUUUGGAAACAUUGUAUGGAGAUCUGGUGAAACUUUAGAUUUUAUUAUCUUUGCAUAUUCAUCAUUUUCUUUGAUGGCUAAACUUGUGGAUUGGGAGUUCUUGUAAACAGGCACUAUGUGAGUUUGAGAGGCUUUGGCAAUUGUGUUGUUAGGCCUUCGAUCCUGGUGAUUUGAUAAUCUGUUGCAGUGAAGACUUUAUGGAUGUCUGUUACCCAAAUUACGGUACAUUAUUGGACUUACAUUUCCAUUUCACUAUUUUUUUUAUAUCCUUGAUUUGGUUGUGGUAUCUCUUAUUGGUUGAAUAGUGGGAAGGCACAUGUGAAUCUUAUGAUGUAUUGCCUUUAAUAGUUUUUGCUGUUGGAAAAAUAAUCUAGAAGUCCUUUCUUAGCAAAUUAUUCUCAUUAUUGUAGAAAUUCUAUAACAUUUAUUCAGGUUUUACUUUCUACAAUUAGUUUAUUUUUAUCCACUCCGAUAACUAAUUAAAUAUUUACUUUCUCUAGAAAGUAGACUAUGUGAUUGAUAUAUUUUAAUGUUAUUCAUAAAUUAGUUCUUUAUAUUAAUCAUUACAAAAAUGUUUGGUAUACACUCAUAUUUAUCAUAUUGCCUUCAAGUAGAAAGGUAUUUGUAUAGGGCAAUUGCUUCCUCCCCCAAUCAAUUUUGACUAGCAUUCAAUAGAAGUUUUAAAACUUCAUUAUGCCUUUUUCACGGCUUACGAAUGCCAAUAUCCAAAAGUGACAUAUUUGCCUAUGGAUAUUGCCAUUUGGAAGUGAUAGUUUUGCCUACGGAUAUUAACAUUCGAAAGUGUCAGUUUUGCCUACGGAUAUUGACAUUUGGAAGUGUCAGUUUUGCCUACGGACAUUGGCAUCUGGAACUGGCACUCUUUGAUUGCGUUCAUUUUUAUCCGAAAGGCACUAUCAUUUUUCUUAAUAUACAUAUCAGGAAGCCAAUCAUCCUUAACUUUUUUUUUUGGCAGUGUAAUGAUUUUGUUACUUUUAAUGGAUUAAAACCACUAAACCGAACCAAUUUAAAGAAUAAAAGUAAAAUCAACAUUAAAAUUUGUUACUUGCUUUUUAUUAUAAAAUAUUUAUAUUAUCAUUUAUAUAUUUUCAAAUGCAUUAACCAUUGAUGACAUAUAGAACAUUGUUGAGAGUAGAAAAAAAGCACCCAAUAAACACAUUUUGGAUUUUCAAAAUGGGACCUGAUGAAAAAGACUUUCGUGGUGCAUAUGGAUGUUUAUAUUCAUAACUCAUAACACAAUUACGGACAAAAAUAUUCAGAACCCGUGAGAAGCGUGAAGCGACACGUCUCCUUUUCUGGUGUCUUUGCUUUCUGUCGUUGUUGAAGUGGCUCAAAAGCGUUGCUUGCGUGUGUGUAAGACUUUCGGAAGAGAAUGUCUACAAGAAACAAUGAAUGACCUUCUGCACUGUGCUUGAUUGUGGGGUGUAUGGAACCUAAUUUCACUCAUUAAGGGUGUCAUGGUAAUUUCAUAUAGAUCAUUAAGGGUGUUAUGGUAAUUUCAAACAGAAAAUUGGGUGUUAGUUAGAAUUGAUUGGGUGCAGGAGAGUCAGCUUUGUGUAGCAAUAAAAAGUCACAAAGAAAUCUAUUCAACUCUAAAAGGUUGUGAUAUUUAACACCACAAAGAGUAAAAAACAUUCACAAAUUAAUAAAAUAAUAUUUUAAUCAUAUUUAAUUUAUUUUUAUUUUUAAAUAUUAUUAUAUUAUUAUAAUGAGAUGUUAAGUAUACGUUUUUACAUGGUGUCAAAAAAUUAUUUUCCUAUUCUAAAAGAACUUAGACAAAUGUCUUAUUAUAAUAAAACUAAUAAUGUGGAAAAUAUUUUAAAAAACACUAAUAAAAGAAAUAAGUUUAUUUUUCAAAUUGAAGUCAAAUUAAGAUUAAAACAAUCUUAAAAUUUAAUUAUAUUGACUAAAAAGUUAAUAAAAACAAAACAAUAUUUACAAGAUAUUUUUAAAUAUCUUUAAAAUAAUAACUGCAAAUUUGUUUCCCCUGUUUUGUGUCAGCGGUUUGUUAUAAGAUAAGGAUGAAAAUCUUAAUUGCAUAUUUUCACCUCACCGCGUAAUAUAAGCUGUCAAUCUUGACCCUCCCUUUCUAUAUAUACCCGAAGAUCUUAUUGAGUUUAUCAUAUUGAGUUUUGUUGGUAUUGGUUCCGUGAUUGAGUUUUGUUAGUACUGAUUGGGGGUGAUUGUUGUGCUUCUUAUUAUCAAGUCUCCGUGGUUUCGUCGAAUUAUAUCAUGUUUGCUAUCAUCGAUGUGGUUUUGAUGUGGUUUUGUCGGAUUGAAGAAUGCAAGAAUCUUUUAUAGGAUUGAAGAACGCCAAUUCUGAAUAUGAUUCUUUAUGUGAUGAUGACAAGUUUUGAAUCUUUUGAUCAAAUUCCUUUAUCCCUUUUCUGCUGGUGACGGGGUCUUUGAGUAUUUUCUUCUACUUUCCUUUCUAUUAUUUGAUUUAUCUGGUAUUGAUCACGAAAAUAAGGAUUGGACUAUGAUUUGUUUAUCUGCAGUGGUGUAACACGUUUCUUAGUUAGUUUUCUUGAUUUUUGGGCUGUACAGGGAAGACACGCAAUGGAUGUGAAAUGAAGUAUUAUGUUUUCUUGACUUCUUAUGGGUUUAUUCGUGACUGAUUAUUGGAUUUCGUAGCCUAACUUGGUGUUUAUGUUCACUCCCCUUCAGCAAUUCGAGUUUCUGAGAUUUGAAACCCUAAAAAGUUUGAAACGGUUGCAGCUCAGGACAUCCCAAUUCUCUCUAUCUAUUGUUUAAUUUCUCUCUACUUUAUCUCCAAGGAUUGAAUUGUGUUCGACGUUUGAAUUAUUUUCCCUUAAUGUUAUGAGGCCCCAAGGGUUGAAUUGGUGUUUGAAUUAUUUUUUUCGCUUAAUGUCCUGCAGAGUAUGUUAUGAGACAUAAGGGCUGAAUUGUGAUUUGUUUCCUGUUUGGAUGAUUUGCAUAGCAUCUUAUAGAAUAUGAAUGGUUUGGUUUUCGCACGGUUCUCGCGAGUAUGUUAUAGCCACCAUUCUUCCUUGGUUUUUAAGUCUUCAAUUUAUCUUAUCGUUCUAUACUUCAUCCUCGAUUACCAGUUAUACUUUGUUGAAUUAUUGUUCUUUACAGGGAUGAGUGGGGAUAAGACAGGGAUGUGUGGGUAGGACGUUCCUCGUGGUUGGUUGAAAAUGGUGGAUGAGCCAUGCUCGACGGUAUGAAAAACACAACGACAAUGGGCUCGACAUAACCGAAGUCUUUUUUGAGUUUUCCUUCUAUUUUUCUUCAACAUAAGGAUAUGAUUUGUUUAUCUGCAGUGGUGUUUUGAACCUUUUGCGUAAAUUUCUUUGCUCCUUUUCAGUUGGUGGCCGAUUCUCUGGCGUUUCUUUAGCUUUUGGAUGAUUUGAAAACUAGAACGACCAAGAGCUAGGCAUAACCUAAGUCUUUGUUGAGUUUCCCUUCUUUAACUUUUUUUUCUGCUAUUGAUCACAGUACAUAAGGAUUGAACUAUGAUUUGUUUAUCUGCAGUGGUGUUUGGAUUAGUUGGGUAACGACACAUACUCAUCUUAUCAUGUUCCUAUAACUAGUAAAUUCAUUUACUGAAUUUUGAGUAUAAUUGUCUAUUUGAGUAUGACGAGUUUUAUACCUUUUGCGUAAAUUUCUUUUCAGCUGGUGGCUGGUUUUUUGGUAUUUCUUUUGCCUAUGGAUGAUAUGGAAAGCACAACGACCAAGGGCUCGACAUAACCUUAAGUCUUUUUUUAGUUUCCCUUCUAUUUUUGUUAUGGUAUUGCAUAAGGAUUGAACUAUGAUUUGUUUAUCUGCAGUGGUGUUUGGAUUAGUUGGGUAACGUCACAUAUUAAUCUUAUCAAGUUUCUAUAAUUAGUAAAUUCAUUUAUGUCUAUAUGAGAAUGACGAGUUUUGAACCUUCUGCGUAAAUUUCUUUGCACCUUUUCAGCUGGAGUUCUCUGUCAUUUCUUUCUCCUAUGGAUGAUAUGAAAAGCAGAAGGACCAAGGGGCUCGACAUAACCUAAGUCUUUUUUGACUUUUUUUUUCUAUUUUUCUUUUUCCUGGUAUUGAUGACAGUACAUAAGGAUUGAACUAUAAUUUGGUUAUCUGCAGUGGUGUUAGGAUUAGUUGGAUAACGACGCAUAUUCAUCUUACAAGUUGCUAUAACUAGUAAAUUCAUUUAUGUGAAUUUUGAGUAUAAUUCUCUAUUUGAGUUUGACAAGUUUUAAACCUUUUGCGUAAAUUUAGUUUCAGCUGGUGGCUGGUUUUUUUGCCUUUCUGUUGCCUAUGGAUGAUAUGAAAAGCACAAUGACCAACGGGCUCGUCAUAACCUAAGUCUUUUUUGAGUUUUCCUUCUUUUUUUCUUUUUCCUGGUAUUGUUCACAGUACAUAAGGAUUAAACUAUGGUUUUGUUUAUCUGCAGUGGUAUUUGGAUUAGAUGGGUAACAACGCAUAUUCAUCGUAUCAAGUUUCUAUAACUAGUAAAUUCAUUUACGUCAAUUUUGACUAUAGUUCUCUAUUUGAGUUGACACUAUAGUUCUUUAUUUGAGUAUGACGAGGAAAAUUACUUAAAUUUCUUUUCAGCUGAUCAAGGGCUCAACAUAACCUUAAAUCUUUUUUGACUUUCCCUUUUAUUAUUUUUUUUAGGUAUUACAUAAGGAUUGAACUAUGAUUUGUUUAUCUGCAGUGGUGUUAUGAUUAGUUGGGUAACUUCACAGAUUCAUCUUAUCAAGUUUCUAUAAUUCAUUUAGGUGAAUUCUGAGUAUAAUUCACUAUUUGAGGAUGAUGAGUUUUGAACAUUUUGUGUAAAUUUCUUUGCAUAUUUUCAGUUAUUGGCUGGUUCUCUGGCAUUUCUUUUGCCUAUGAAUGAUAUGAGAAGCACAACGACCAAGGGGCUCAACAUAACCUAAGUCUUUUUUGAGUUUUCCUUAUAUUUUUCUUUUUACUAGUAAUAAUAACAGUACAUAAAGAUUGAACUAUGAUUUGUUUAUCUGCAGUGGUGUUUGGACUAGUUGGGUAACGACGCAGAUUCAUUUUAUCAAGUUUCUAUAACUAGUAAAUUCAUUUACGUGAAUUUUGAGUAAAAUUCUCUAUUUGAGUAUGACGAGGUUUAAACCUUAUGCGUAAAUUUCUUUUCAGCUGGUGGCUGGUUUUUUGGCAUUUCUUUUGCCUAUGGAUGAUAUGCAAAGCACAACGACCAAGGGCUCGAUAUAACCUUAAGUCUUUUUUGAGUUUCCCUUAUAUUAUUCGUUAAUGGUUUUACAUAAGGAUUGAACUAUGAUUUGUUUAUCUGCAGUGGUGUUUUGGAUUAGUUGGGUAACGUCGCAUAUUCCUCUUAUCAAGUUUCUAUAGUUAGUAAAUUCAUUUAUGUCUAUAUGAGGAUGACAAGUUUUGAACCUUCUGCGUAAAUUUCUUUGCACCUUUUCAGCUGGCGUUCUCUAGCAUUUCUUUCUCCUAUGGAUGAUAUGAAAAGCAGAAGGACCAAGGGGCUCAACAUAACCUAAGUCUUUUUUGAGUUUUUUUUUCUAUUUUUCUUUUUCCUGGUAUUGAUGACAGAACAUAAGGAUUGAACUAUGAUUUGUUUAUCUGCAGUGGUGUUUGGAUUAGUUGGAUAACGACGCAUAUUCAUCUUACAAGUUUCUAUAACUAGUAAAUUCAUUUACGUGAAUUUUGAGUAUAAUUCUCCAUUUGAGUGUGACGAGUUUUAAACCCUUUUUGUAAAUUUACUUUCAGCUGGUGCCUGGUUUUUUGGCCUUUCUGUUGCCUAUGGAUGAUAUGAAAAGCACAACAACCAAGGGCUCGACAAAACCUUAAGUCUUUUUUGAGUUUCCUUCUAUUUUUUUAUGGUACUACAUAAGAAUUGAACUAUAAUUUGUUUAUCUGCAGUGGUGUUUGGAUUUGUAUAACGUCACAUAUUCAUCUUAUCAAGUUUCUAUAAUUAGUAAAUUCAUUUAGGUCUAUAUGAGGAUGACGAGUUUUGAACCUUUUGCGUUAAUUUCUUUGCACCUUUUCAGCUGGAGUUGAGUUGUGAACUUGUUUGGAAGUUUUGCAUGUAAUCUCCUUUGAGCCUAGACUGCAAUGUCUCUUAUGCUGAAAUCUUUGAAAUCAGAAUAAUGAACCGGAGUGACAACAAUGCUCUAACGCUGAAAUUUUUGAAAUCAGUAUAAUAAUGAUCCUGAAAUUGUUUAAAUGCUUCACUUUUGUUUCAACAAUCUCCAUUUAUGUUUCUCAUUCUUCGAGUUUUGAAAUCAGCAUUUAUUUGUUUGCAGCACAUUUUGUCUUUAUUUGAGGUUUCUCUUUCAGAUUGUUAACUCAACCAGUGAUGGAAUAUAGUGGGACGGCUAACAUGUCUUAUCAACAAGUUUGAGUGUUUAUCCAAAACCAUUCCAUUCAUUUCUUUUUCAUAUUUGUACAAUUUGGAAAAGGAUUGUAUCCGAGAAAGAUAAUGGAGUUUUGGAGGUGAAUUUGUUAAUUUUAAUCAGAUUGACGAACGUCUCUUGGACAGGAUUUCGUCUCUAUUUGAUAUUUUCAGAUUUGAUCACCAAACAUAUGGAUUUUCUGUUGUCAUUUGUUUUUGUGCAGUGAUAUUUGCAUAAUGUUUCAUGCUACGUCUAAUCAAUCAUGUUGUUUGGAAGUUUGUAUGACUCUUGAUAACAGGCUUUACAAGAGUUUGGGAGGAUUAGUAAUUUCAGAGGUGAUACCUAUUAUCAUAUUUGUGUCUUGUAGUGUGAACUGUUCAAGUUUAUUCAUUUGCAAGAGGGAUCAAUUCUCCACUUUUGAUGCAGAAGAUUAGAUGGCUAACAUUAUUGUCCGUUCAUUUGAUCCAGCAAGAGCCCAUUCUAGAAAUGUGGUCUUCUCUUUAAAGGCCUUUAGUAUUUUACUAUCAUAAAUAGAUAUUAUUUCUGGUUCUAUUGUUUUGACUGAGAGGAAGUCACAAGUCUUGUUGAUAUAUGAUGAUCUCUUAUCAUUUCCCCUUAAUUCUUGGUUGUUGUUUUGACAGGGUAGGGUUUGGGGAGUCUGGGUUUUUGGAUUAGGAAUUGUCCAACCACCAACAAUGUGUGUACAAGUUUGAAAUAUAUGAAUGAAGGCUGUCAAGGAAAAUGAUUACAGCAAUGAAGGCUAAAAAAAAAAUUGCGGAAGCAGAGUCUCCUAGAUCAGGAUAUAUAUAUGCUAGAGUGGAAAGAAAUAGAUGAAAUAUAUUUCUGAGAUAUCUUACAAAUGUGAUUACAGUCUCUAUUUAUAGACUGUUUUACAACCUAAUUAAAGAAAGAAAUAAUAGGUGAUGAAAGCCAGAAAUAAAUAAUGAGUGUUUAAAGCUGUACAAAUCAAAUAAAAUAAAAUCACUAACAAAUCUGUACUAAUAAAUAUAAAAUGGAAUCUGCACUUAAUUAUAACAUAAUUCUCCUGAUUAUGCAACAGUUAGUUUGAAUUUUAUUGAAUUACAUAAAUGCUUUAUUAAUAUGAUCAUUUGAUUAUAGCAGAAUUGUAGUGGUUUUUAUAAAAUUAUUCUUAGUAGUUAUAUAAUUAUUCAUGGUUGUUAUAUUACCUUUAAUAGUUAUUGUUGUUGGAAAAAUAAUCUAGAAGUCCUUUGUUGGCUAAUGAUUCUCUAACAUUUUUUUAAAAAUUUUAUAGUAGUUGUAUUUUGAUUUGACAAUUUAGUUUAGUUUCUUUUAUUGACUCUUAUAGCUAAUUAAUAUUGACUUUCAUUAGAAUGUUGAUGAUGAUGUGAAUGAUGUGUUUUAAUGUUGAUUGUGUUGUGAUUCUAUUUUAUAAAAUAUUGUUUUAUGGUAAUCAUUAAUCAAUUGCUUUGUAUACACUCAUUUAUCAUAUUGCUGUAUGACAAAUCUUAAAGCCCUCUAAGAGAAAGGUUCCUGGGUUGCUUUGUGGAAAGUUUUAAACUCGCUCGCAAUGGUAAAGGAUGGAUCAAUGUGCUUUUAUGCAAGAAUUAUUAGUAAAUUCAUUUACGUGAAUUCUUAGUAUAAUUCUCUAGUUGAUUAUGACGAGUUUUUAACCUUUUCAGCUUAUGGCUGGUUCCCUAACAUUUCUUUUGCCUAUGGAUGAUAUGAAAAGCCCAACAAUCAAGGGCUCAACAUAAAGAAAGUCUUUUUUGAGUUUCCCUUCUAUUAUUCUUUUUGCUGGUAUUGAUAACAUAAGGAUUGAACUAUGAUGUGUUUAUCUGCAAUGGUGUUUGGAUUAGUUGGGUAACAUCGCAUAGUCAUCUUAUCAAAUUUCUAUACUUUGUCUUAAUAAGAGUGUUUAUUGUUUCCUUCAAUUUUUGGACUAUCGUUUCCUUCAAUUAAAUUUGGUGUUUGUGUUCAUUCCUUUUCAGCAAGUCCUGAGUCUUUGAGAUUUCUUUUGGUGGUUGAGGAACUACAGAAUGGUUGUAGAUCAGGAUAUCCUAAUUUCUCUAUACUUGAUCACCGAACAUUGAAUAGUGAUUUGUUCUUAUGCAGUAAACAUAAGGAUUUAAUUUUGAUUAUUUUCGUAUAAUGUCCUUUAUCUCAUGGAGUAUGUUAUGUGGCAUAAUAGUUUAAUUGUAAUUUGCUUCUUUGCAGCGUGAAAUUGGCUUACCGUAUUGCAUCUUAUGGGGUAUGUUAUGAGUGACCGUGUCUCCCUUAAUUUUUUAAUUUAUCUAAUAGUCCUUUAUUACCUGUUAUAGUUUUGUUGAAUUAUUGUUCUUUAUAGGGAUGUGUGGUAAUUAGCAAGAGCUCAGGACUAUUUGGUUUCAAUUUUUUUAUAACAAAACUUUAUUUUGCCUUUAUUAGUUUCCUUCAUUGACAAAUGAAUUUUGAACUUGGUUCUUGCAAAGCAUCAAUGUCCUUGCCUAAUUUGUGUUUCAAGAUUAUUGAUCUUUCGUAUUGAAGUUCUGAAAAUUUAGGUGGAGCAGUAUUGAAAAGAUGGAUCUUGAAGUUAUUCCUUUCAUUUUAGUAGUGUAAUUAGCAAGAGCUCAGGAUUAUUUGCCUCCAUUCUUUGAUUACAGAACUUUUUAUUUUGUUUGUUCCUGCAUCGACAAAUGAAUUUUGAACUUGUUCUUGCAUAAUUUAUCAUUGGGAGGAAAUGAAUUGGUGGUUUAGGUUUGGGAAACAGUGGAUCGGGACCCUGUGGAAAUUUAGGUUUUGUUCUAUGUUUAUUAUUUCUUUGCUGUUAUUAUUCACGGAUAAACUUGUGGACUGGGAAUGUUUACCUCUAUAUGACAGGCACUGUAAACGUCUGUGUCAGCUAUUUAAUUUUCUCUUUCUUGUCCACACUCAGACAUUUCUUUCAGCAACUGAGUCAUUUAAAAGAGAGUUUCGUUUCUUUUCAUGUUCUUUAUUGUCAAAAUAACCUUUCUUUCUUUCUUAUCAGCUAUAGUAUUUAGUUUCACUGUGAUCUCGGGAUGUGUUAUUUGGAAGUGAUGUGGUUAUUCAUCCAAGGAUUAAUGUGUUAUUUGGAAGUGAUGUGGUUAUUCAUUCAAGGAUUGAGUUCCAUUCUCUUCGACUUGCUUUUGUUUGUUGUGUUCAUUGCUAUCAAACAACUUUCUUCCUUUUAAAUGUAUGGAGUCUAUUUUUUUAAGAUGAAAUCCCCACUAAAUGUAAUGUUUUUUUUUUCUUUCUUUUUCAUCAUUGCCUAGUUAUUUCUGUUUCUCAUAGGCUUGGUCUCAUCCCUUCAACUUGCAUUUGUUUGUGUUCAUUGCUAUCAAACAGCUUUCUUCUUUUUAAAUGUAUGGAGCCUUUUUUGCUACGUCUAGAUGUUGAUUUUCUUGUGUUCAUUCAUUUUUAGGUGUUGAUUUGUUCGUGUUAAUUCCUUUUUAGCAUCUCGAGACUGCCGGAAUGGUUGAGGAUUAAAAUCUGAAAUUGUUUAGAACCACCAAUAAUUCAGGAUAACCUUCAACUUUGUUUUAGGUGUCAUUUGUUUUAUGUCUCUCUUUGUUUUAAAUGUCUUAUUGUCUCUAUACUUCAACUUUAUGAGCCGUUUGUAGCCUUCCUGAAUUCUUGGGGUGUACAGGACAAACAUGCAACAGAUGUGAGGUAGGAAAGAUGUGAGUAUCCUUGAAGCUUGAAUACUGGCAGGAGAUCCUUGAAGCUUUAGGUUUUGGUAUCCACACAUAUUUUUGUCUUUAAUUGGGACUGGCUAUUUGAAUUUCUCUGGUUUUUGAAUUCCUUCAAUUCAUUAAUUCAUUUUGUCCUUUCUUAAAUUCUGGGUCUUUAUUACCAAUAUCUAUUUGAAUUUAAAUAUAGUUCUUAAAUUUUUUAUGUAUAGGUGUUGAUUCGUUUGUGUUCAUUCCUUUUUAGCAUGUAAGACUGGUUGAGGAUUAAAAUCUGCAACUGUACACGAAAAAACAAGCAACGGAUGUGAGCUAGGAUAUCUGAAUACUGGAAGGACAUGCUUGAUUCUAUAGGUUAUCCAUACUCUUUGAUGACAGAUGUCUACUUGAGUUUGGAUGUAGUUAUUUAUUUGAUGACUGAGAUCUAUCAUAUGUAACUGUUUAUCUGCUUGUGUUAGUUCCUUUUCAGCAGGGGAUUCUGGUUUAGGAUAAAAAAACAUAAAUUUGAAUAUUGUUCUUGUCCGAUUAUCAAAAUAUGUAAAACCUAGCUAUUUGAUGUUGAUUCUUUUUUAGCACAUUAAAGGUUAAUAAUAAUACAAUACUCAGGGAAGAUGUCUCCUCUUUAUUUGAAACUUUGUAGAUUGAGCAUAUUUUUCGAGACUGAUAUAUGAGGUAGGAUGUGGAAACACUGGGAUUUGUGAAGCUUUAGGUUUUGUUAUCCUUACAUUUCUUAUGUUUUUAUUUGUGACUAACUAAACUUCUUGUUUGGAUGCUAAGUUUUGGUUGGAUUCAUUGCAGACCUUGUAGUGUGUCUGACAGUUCUUAUUGGUGUAUAUGUAGCAAUCACUAGCAGACUAUUAGAGGUCCUGUAAUUUGGGGAGGAUUUGUCUGACAGAAUUUCUAACAACUUAAUAUGAAGUACUGAAUUAAUAGUGAAAAAAAAGAUAAAGAAAAAAUAUCAUGGCCAUUAAAAGUUUAUGUUUCUUGUCCUGUUCAGCCAUGGCACUUGUCAGUGAGCUCUUGCUUCUUUCUCUAUUGCCCCAUAUGCAUACUUUUUCGCAUUUCUUACUCUUUUUUUAAGUUGUUCAUUUUUAAGUAAUUUAGGCUUCUCAUACUGGUUUCAUAGUGAAAUUUGAGCCUUUUACAUGGUGCCAUUGAAAUUAAGGAGGGAAUUAAUGAUCUUUAGUUUUAUAGUACUGAAUUAAUUUGGAUUUGCUUAGGUGUAGCAAAUUUGAAAGGUCAUUUUCUUAGUUAUUACUUCAUUUACUAAAUUAUCAAGAGCAUUGAACAAUUUGAUUUUGUAGUGUUUUGUUUGCUGCCUUGACAAAUGAAUCUUGCAUUCUAUUGUUUUUAGUAAUUUUGGGUUACAUUCUGAAUAUGACAUAUGAUGAUCUCUUAUAUCUUCCAAAAUGAGAAUGAUCUCCAACAUUAGAGCUGUAUUUAGUUCUAUCUCCAAUGUGAGAAUGAGAAAAUUGAGAGCUGUAUUUAGUUUUAUCUCCAAUUAUCUCUAAUAUUAGAAUGAGAAACAACAGUAGUUGAAAUGUUUUCUUGUAAUCUAUCUUCGUGUGCUAUGAUUCAGUUCUCUCUCCAUAUAUGAGAAUAAAAAAUGAGAAAGAGAAACAACAUUAUUUGGAAUGUUUUGUCGUAAUCUUCUUGCACUAUGAUUUUGUUCUCUCCCAAUAUGCGAAUGAGAAAAUGAAAAACAACAGUAUUUAGAAAGUUUUGUCGUAAUCUUGCGCUAUGAUUUGGUUCUCUCCUCAAUAUGCAAUGAGAAGAUGAGAAACAACAUUCCUUAACUUGUAAUUGAUUUUAUAUUAAUUGUUUAACUAUUCACUUCAUGUUUUUCUAAUUUGAAGAUAUCUCUUUACUAAAAACAAUGUAAUUAAUUUUAUAUUAAUUGUUUAGCUAUUCA
This 15235-nucleotide long non-coding RNA is filed under the name Phaseolus vulgaris (common bean). Its description in RNAcentral is "long non-coding RNA (PVUL_LNC004094)". The record is from RNAcentral. Lineage: Eukaryota; Viridiplantae; Streptophyta; Magnoliopsida; Fabales; Fabaceae.